RNAcentral lists this ribosomal RNA (445 nucleotides) under uncultured bacterium. RNAcentral's name for it is "bacterial SSU rRNA". It matches the Rfam family "Bacterial small subunit ribosomal RNA", at positions 354 to 796 of the family's 1533-position model. The record is from RNAcentral.
GUGGGGAAUAUUGCGCAAUGGAGGCAACUCUGACGCAGCCAUGCCGCGUGCAGGAAGAAGGCGCUACGCGUCGUAAACUGCUUUUAACCGGGAAGAAACCCCUGGACGUGUCCUGGGUUGACGGUACCGGAGGAAUAAGCACCGGCUAACUUCGUGCCAGCAGCCGCGGUAAUACGAAGGGUGCAAGCGUUAUCCGGAUUCAUUGGGUUUAAAGGGUGCGUAGGCGGAGCGUUAAGUCAGUGGUGAAAUCCUGCAGCUUAACUGUAGACUUGCCAUUGAUACUGGCGCUCUUGAGUGCGCUUGAAGUGGGCGGAAUGUGCCGUGUAGCGGUGAAAUGCUUAGAUAUGGCACAGAACACCAAUUGCGAAGGCAGCUCACUAAGGCGAUACUGACGCUGAGGCACGAAAGCGUGGGGAUCGAACAGGAUUAGAUACCCUUGUAGUCC